RNAcentral lists this ribosomal RNA (927 nucleotides) under uncultured bacterium. RNAcentral's name for it is "bacterial SSU rRNA". It matches the Rfam family "Bacterial small subunit ribosomal RNA", at positions 8 to 943 of the family's 1533-position model. The record is from RNAcentral.
AGAGUUUGAUCAUGGCUCAGAAUCAACGCUGGCGGCGUGCCUCAGACAUGCAAGUCGAACGAUUAAGACUUCCUUCGGGAAGUGCAUAAAGUGGCGCACGGGUGAGUAACACGUAAGUAAUCUGCCCUCGAGUGGGGAAUAACGUCCGGAAACGGACGCUAAUACCGCAUAACGCAGCGGCACCUAAUGGUGACAGUUGUUAAAGGAGCAAUCCGCUUGAGGAGGAGCUUGCGGCAGAUUAGCUAGUUGGUAAGGUAAUGGCUUACCAAGGCUACGAUCUGUAACCGGUCUAAGAGGACGGUCGGUCACACUGACACUGAAUAACGGGUCAGACUCCUACGGGAGGCAGCAGUCGGGAAUUUUGGGCAAUGGGCGAAAGCCUGACCCAGCAACGCCGCGUGAAGGAUGAAGUAUUUCGGUAUGUAAACUUCGAAAGAAUGGGAAGAAACAAAUGACGGUACCAUUUAUAAGGUCCGGCUAACUACGUGCCAGCAGCCGCGGUAAUACGUAGGGACCAAGCGUUGUUCGGAUUUACUGGGCGUAAAGGGCGCGUAGGCGGCAAUUCAAGUCAUCUGUGAAAUCUCCGGGCUUAACUCGGAACGGUCAGAUGAUACUGCUUUGCUAGAGUGCGGAAGGGGCAAUCGGAAUUCUUGGUGUAGCGGUGAAAUGCGUAGAUAUCAAGAGGAACACCUGAGGUGAAGACGGGUUGCUGGGCCGACACUGACGCUGAGUGCGCGAAAGCCAGGGGAGCAAACGGGAUUAGAUACCCCGGUAGUCCUGGCCUUAAACGAUGAAUACUUGGUGUCUGGAGUCUUUAAAGCUCCGGGUGCCGUCGCUAACGUUUUUAGUAUUCCGCCUGGGGAGUACGCUCGCAAGAGUGAAACUCAAAGGAAUUGACGGGGACCCGCACAAGCGGUGGAGCAUGUG